GAGAGUUUGUGUUCUUUCUUUUACACUAAAGGAAUCUGCAUGAUUUUUAAUGAUAAUUUAUUUACUUGCAUCAAAGGUACCAUUGAAACAUUGUGUACAUGAUAGAUGUCCAACAUGUUGACAAUGAAAUGAAAACAGCUGCUUUCCUAUUAUGUCAUUAUUUUUUUGGUCCAGGCCAUUUAUGCACAGUUAACCAAAAUGAGCUCAACACCCCCAUCUUCAAUCACUUUGUGCUUAAAACCCUCAUGUUUAAUAUUUAAAAGGUUGUUAAACUUCACUGUGAACAUGAUGUGACAUAAACAAACUCUCUGUGGAGCCUAAACUGAGUAGAAAAAAAGUAUGUGUAUUUGUACACACUUUACUCUUUACUGGUGGCCGUGCUUAUACUUACGCUCACUGUUCUCUGGAAUAAACAGAUUAUUCAUCAGCUUAUUUUAGAAGUAUGAAAGCCUGACCAGGAAGCCAAACACACUUCAACACUCACACUCUGUUUUAUCACACACGUUUAACUGAAAGUACUCUUAAUCCAAAGAUAAAUUAAAUACAUCCAUUUUAUUAGGAACAGCUGAUCCUCAGCCACAUAUUCAUUUUAAUAAUCUGUAAAAGCAUCAUUGAUGACCUGCUUGUAUUCAAAUGGUACUUAAAGUAAUUUUUCUUCCUCUAGUGGUCAUGAAUGAAACAAUCAGUGUUUUUUUAAACAGCUGUGAAUGUAAUGUUCCAGUUUGACCUCCGGGUGGCAGUGUUGUCUCACGUUGGCUAAGCAUACAGAAGAAUAUACUGUAAGAACAUGUGUUAAAGCAUUAAAAAGUGAUUUUUUAAAAAACGAUUUUUUUCCCUUCUUCACCAGAUUCAACAAAAGGCACACCACUCAGAAUUCUUCUAAACAUCUGGAUAUUAAUAUUUGUCCCCCACACCCCAAAGAACACAUAUAAUCUUAAUUACAGAUCAGUGCAGAAGAAUUUAUCCACUGCAAUAUUUCAGUUUGACCUCAUAUGGCAGUGUGUUUUUUAUGACCCAGACUAUAAAUAACAUCCAGCCAUC
Molecule: long non-coding RNA, 1041 nt
Organism: Oreochromis aureus
Lineage: Eukaryota; Metazoa; Chordata; Actinopteri; Cichliformes; Cichlidae
Source: Ensembl